UGCUUCUACUGCUUUUUUCAGUUUCUCCGU
Molecule: non-coding RNA, 30 nt
Filed under: Mus musculus (house mouse)
Lineage: Eukaryota; Metazoa; Chordata; Mammalia; Rodentia; Muridae
Source: RNAcentral